AAAUAGUUAAAAAAUGCAAACAGCUAAAACUUUUUAACUCAAGUAAAACUUAAAUGGAUCUAUUGAUUGGAGACUAAAUUAAUGUAAAAAAUUCCAUUUCUUUUCUACCUCCCCAAAAUACAUAUCAUCAUAUAGUUUUCCAGAUGUGUUUUAAUAAAUAUUGAGGAACAAGGUCAUCUCUAUUUCAUAACACUAAUGUAAGGAAGAGGAGUAAAAUCGCCUAUUUUAUUGUAUAUGGUUACUAUAACCUUGUUUCUAAAACCAAAUAAAGAAAGUGUAAGAAUUAAAGCUAUAAACCAGUUUCACUUAUGAACAGUAGAUGCAGAAAUAUUAGUAAAUCAAAGAAAGAAAAAUCACACAUUCUGAUGUUGCCAUCACAAUGACUGAUUCUACUCUCUUGAAUACUUGUCAGGUUUCCUGACAUACCUGAGCAUUGGGUCUGACUUUGGUAUCCAUAUUUUUUAAAGGGAUACAGAAAAGUAUGGAUAAUUUAGAAAUUAUUGUACAGUGAUUAAGAGAAAAGAAAAAAAUGUAUAUUCUGAUUGAUUAAAAAAAAAAAGAAGUUCCAAAUGAUUGGUUCAGAAAGUCAAAACACUAGAAAACAUACUUGGGUUUUGAAGAAAAAAAGAGUAUAGACUUAUCAUUGCAAAAAGCAUGAUUUUGAAAUUUUCGAUGUUGUCAUCAGUAACAUCUUUAAUAAGUCCCUGCUAUGGUCUGACUGAAUGUUUGUGUUCCUUCAAAAUUCAUAUGUUGAAAUCUUAUCCCUAAUGUGGCUUCAGAGGUCUGACCUUCGAAGACAUAUUGAAGACAUAUGUAUGCGGAGUAAGGUCCUCACCAGAUACGAAAUCUAUUGGUGCCUUGAUUUUGGACUUCCUGGCCUCUAGAACUAUAACAAAUAAAUUUUUGUUGUUUA
Molecule: long non-coding RNA, 913 nt
Filed under: Marmota monax (woodchuck)
Lineage: Eukaryota; Metazoa; Chordata; Mammalia; Rodentia; Sciuridae
Source: RNAcentral